CUGACAUCCCCAGAGAGUAAAGUCCUCUAUUUAUUUAUAGAGCACCUACAGCAUGGACAGCAGCAGUGCAAACUUCCCCACAUUGCCCCACCAAUGUGCCUCAACCUUGACCUGAAGAGACUACAUAUAGGAGUAAGAGUAGUUGAGACCUCAUGUCCUUGGCCUCU
Molecule: small RNA, 167 nt
Filed under: Crocodylus porosus (Australian saltwater crocodile)
Lineage: Eukaryota; Metazoa; Chordata; Crocodylia; Crocodylidae
Description: TUC338 (ENSCPRG00005010628.1)
Source: RNAcentral